RNAcentral lists this ribosomal RNA (371 nucleotides) under uncultured soil bacterium. Its description in RNAcentral is "bacterial SSU rRNA". It matches the Rfam family "Bacterial small subunit ribosomal RNA", at positions 26 to 386 of the family's 1533-position model. The record is from RNAcentral.
AGAGUGAACGCUGGCGGCAGGCCUAAUACAUGCAAGUCGAACGGCAGCACAGCAGAGCUUGCUCUGUGGGUGGCGAGUGGCGGACGGGUGAGGAAUACAUGGGAAUCUGCCCAGUCGUGGGGGAUAACGUAUGGAAACGUACGCUAAUACCGCAUGCGCCCUUCGGGGGAAAGCCGGGGACCUUCGGGCCUGGCGCGAUUGGAUGAGCCCAUGUCGGAUUAGCUAGGUUGGCGGGUAAAGGCCCACCAAGGCGACGAUCCGUAGCUGGUCUGAGCGGAUGGAUACGAGCCCAACGCGUAGGAACUGGAGACACGGCCAGACUCCGUAGGGAGCAGCAGGUGGGAAUACGUGGACAGUGGCGACAAGCCUGA